CCGAACCCCAAAUCCCACCCCCAAAAAACCCAAAUUUCACCAAUUCCCCCAAACCCAAAACCUCCCAAUUCUACCCCCAAAAUCCCAACUCCCCUCUAAUGAGAAAACGUUGGAUUUUGGGGCCAAAAAACCCCCAAAAAGGGGCACAGAACGUCGUGCCAAAAACCACCACUUUCCUACAACGCCGCAGAACCCAAAAGCAGCAGAAAUGAACCCAAAAGGGGACGGUGCUAUUUACAGUUUAUUACAAGUUUGAAAAAGCCAAAAUUCGGUUCAAGCUUUGCCAAAAAAAAAAAGAAAAACCAACCAAAAAAACGCCAAUUUUGGUUUUUUUUUUGUAUGUGUGUAAAAAUGGGGAUUUUUUACAAAAAAGCGCAACUUCUGUACAGGCGGAGGGGACGAGUGCACCCAAAAGUGCUGGUUUUUGGCCCAAUUUCACCUUUUUUAACACUUUUUUGUGUGUGGGGGGGGGGUUGGAGCUGGAGGGGAGCUGGCAAUUUGUCUCAAAUUGCCCAAAAUUGGCAGAAUUUCACCCAAUUUUUUUGGGGGGGUGGGAGAGCGAAACUCAAUUCUUUGCAGCAAUGGAGAUUUUGGGGCAUUUUGGGGCAUUUUGGGGAUUGGGAUUUCCCAAAAAAUCCCAUUGGAAGCUUCAGGAAAACAAACAAAAAAAAAACCCAAAAAUGCCCCAAAUGAGCCCAAAUCCACCACGACAAAACAUUUUCACAGAGAUUUGGGGUGUUUUGGGGUUUUUGAGGUAUUUGGGGAUAAUUUGUGGCUUUUUUUUCCCCCAGUUUUGCACAUUCUGGGUUAUUAUCACCAUAUUUUGCCCAUUUUUUCCCAAAUCUUCCACGUUUCGGCUUCAUUUUUUUCACAUUUUGGGUCAUUUUCACCACAUCCUGCCCAUUUUUUCCCCCACUUUUAACACAUUUCCCAUUAUUUUCCCCCAAAUUUCCCACAUUUCACCUCAUUUUUUCCUCAUUCCACCCAUUUUUUCCCCACUUCCUGCAUUUUUCUCAUCACAUUUCCCCAAAUCUUGCCCAUCUCACCUCAUUUUCUCCCACAUUUUGGGUUAUUCCCCCCACAUUUUGGGUUAUUUCCCCCACAAUCCCCACAACAUCACUCCCAAACUCCACACCUCUCACCAUUUCCCCCCAAACCCCACAAAACUCCGCUUCCUUUCCCCCAAAACACCGCACCCUGCACUCACACCCCCCAACCUCACAACCCCACACCUUCCUUUGCCCCAAAUUCUGCCCUUUUUCCCCCACUUUCAGCCACUCCUCCCACACCAUUCACACCAAACCUCCCCAACAGCCAACGAAGCCCAACAGCCCCCAUCACAGCCCAACAGCCCCAUCACAGCUUAACAGCAAACCCCAUUACAUCCCAACAACCCCAUCACAGCCCAACAGCCCCCACUCCAGCCCAACAGCCCCCAUUAGGGCCCAACAACCCUCAUUACAGCCCAACAACCCUCCUAACAACCCAACAAUCCCCAUUAAGGCCCAACAACCCCCAUUAUAGCCCAACAAUCCCCACUCCAGCCCAACAGCCCUCAUUACAGCCCAACAGCCCUCAUUACAGCCCAACAACCCUCCUAACAACCCAACCCCCAUUAGGGCCCAACAGCCCUCAUUACAGCCCAACAGCUGCCAUUACAGCCCAACAACCCCCAUUAGGGCCCAACAACCCCCAUUACAGCCCAACAGCUGCCAUUACAGCCCAACAACCGCCAUUAGAACCCAACAAUUCCCACUCCAGCCCAACAACCCCAUCACAGCCCAACAGCCCCCAUUAGGGCCCAACAACCCUCAUUACAACCCAACAGCCCCUACUCCAGCCCAACAGCCACCAUUACAGCCCAACAGCCGCCAUUAGGGCCCAACAACCCCCAUUAGGGCCCAACAACCCCCAUUAGGGCCCAACAGCUGCCAUUAGGGCUCAACAAACACCAUCACAGCCCAACAGCCGCCAUUAGAGCCCAACAAACCCCAUCACAGCCCAACAACCCCCAUUAGGGCCCAACAACCCUCAUUACAGCCCAACAGCCGCCAUUACAGCCCAACAACCCUCAUUAGGGCCCAACAGCUGCCAUUACAACCCAACAACCCCCAUUAGAGCCCAACAAUCCCCACUCCAGCCCAACAACCCCCAUUACAGCCCAACAGCCCCCAUUACGGCUCAACAACCCUCAUUACAACCCAACAGCUGCCAUUACAGCCCAACAAUCCCCACUCCAGCCCAACAGCCCUCAUUACAGCCCAACAACCCCCAUUACAACCCAACAACCGCCAUUACAACCCAACAACCCCCAUUAGGGCCCAACAACCCUCAUUAGGGCCCAACAGCCGCCAUUACAGCCCAACAACCCCCAUUAGGGCCCAACAACCCACAUUACAGCCCA
Molecule: long non-coding RNA, 2404 nt
Organism: Phasianus colchicus (ring-necked pheasant)
Lineage: Eukaryota; Metazoa; Chordata; Aves; Galliformes; Phasianidae
Source: Ensembl